RNAcentral lists this long non-coding RNA (773 nucleotides) under Cricetulus griseus (Chinese hamster). RNAcentral's name for it is "lncRNA (ENSCGRG00015038648.1)". Lineage: Eukaryota; Metazoa; Chordata; Mammalia; Rodentia; Cricetidae. The record is from RNAcentral.
UAUUAGUUUAACAAAAACCUCAUUUUCUACCAACCAAAGGGCUAGGAAUGCUUGCUAUCAGAUAGCAUCUGAGACCUGAACCUGAGAUUUCUCCACCUGGCAGGAACCCUACCUCUCUGGCGUUCCCACCAAUGCAGACAGGCAUCUGCAGAAGCAGGACUAUUCCUUAGUCAGAACAACAGGAGGGCCACGGUUUCUCCUGGGAGUGGAGACUGCAUAGCGGGGUCCAAUCCAGGAAUAUGCUGUGUUUAGUCCCAAGACUCAGGAACUCAGGAACACAGGAGAAUAACAAGAGUGAGAGAACCUGUUGCCUUUGGUACAGCUCUGGGCUGCAUAAUGAUGUUUCCGCCGAGGACUGCAGAAAAGAACACAACAGUGGCCUCAUGGGAGAAGCUAGCUCAGUGACGUCAUAGCUGUCUAACUCACUCUGAGAUGUUCACAUUGCCAUGACUCAUCCUCUGACCACCGUGUGGUGAAGCAAGCCACGACUGAACAUUCAGUCCUAACUGAUAGUAUCUAAGAGAAGAAAUUAGCAGGUUCUGAGGCUUUCAGAACUCACACAUACAAAAGGGCGGGUAAAUAUCAAAACAAGUUCUUGUGAUUUAAUGUAAUUUAAAAUUUUGUUUGGGCCUGAGGAUGAGGCUCAGGGGUUAAGUGCUUGUUUAGCAAGCAUGAGGCCUGAGUCCAACCUCGGCAAGUGGAAAAAACUUAUUUUUCUGACCUCGUCACAUGCCAGUCUCUCCCAUAAAGCUUUAGCAGUGCCACACAAACAC